Molecule: non-coding RNA, 635 nt
Organism: Paramuricea clavata
Lineage: Eukaryota; Metazoa; Cnidaria; Anthozoa; Malacalcyonacea; Plexauridae
Source: the annotation of a GenBank genome assembly
GGUUGUCAUUGGACCGUACUAUAUCUAACAGAACUCAAGCUUUUGUUGGUUUGGAUGUUUUCACUUCAUACUGAGGUAAGAACAUGUGUCAAUAUUUUUACCGCAGCUUAGAUUUGUUUGUCUUGUAUCAUUUUAUCUGUGCCUAUAUAUAGACAUGUUUCAGCAAUACCAAACAAAUGCCACAUUCCUCAAUAAAUUAAGGGCACUGCAGGAGAUCAACAAGCUUUUAAACGGACAAGUGGCGGUUGUUGUCUGCCAUCACAUAGUCAAGACAAAGCACCCUUGGUGAAGUUCUGGCCAUGUUCAUUUCAAGAAAUUAAUGUAGCGAACAGUUGGGAAGUUAGUUGGCUACUAACUCCCGACGACGGGCCUUCGCUCGAAACUAAAUCCCUAUCCAUCCGCAGUAUUCUGGAGUUUUUGUCACUACCUACCCUGGAACACACCGUUCAAGUUUAUAUCUAACUAAAAAGGUUUUGGACCUCUACACUCGAUAUAGCUAAUUGUAGAUGGGUUUUUGUAAACGUUUUCGCAAGUUUAGUAAAUCAAAAACGGCAACAGCUGACCGAUAAUACUUACUUGUGCAUGUGGUACUUCGGAUGUUACGUCCAAGUAAUUCCAGGAAAUACAAGAUUUCG